Molecule: unclassified non-coding RNA, 581 nt
Filed under: 'Sabal palmetto' phytoplasma
Lineage: Bacteria; Bacillati; Mycoplasmatota; Mollicutes; Acholeplasmatales; Acholeplasmataceae
Description: partial contains 16S ribosomal RNA, 16S-23S ribosomal RNA intergenic spacer, and 23S ribosomal RNA
Rfam family: Bacterial small subunit ribosomal RNA (bases 1-239)
Source: RNAcentral
UGAAGUCUGCAACUCGACUUCAUGAAGUUGGAAUCGCUAGUAAUCGCGAAUCAGCAUGUCGCGGUGAAUACGUUCUCGGGGUUUGUACACACCGCCCGUCAAACCACGAAAGUGGACAAUACCCGAAAGCGAUAGCCUAACUGCGCAAGCAGAGGGAAUCGUCUAAGGUAGGGUCGAUGAUUGGGGUUAAGUCGUAACAAGGUAUCCCUACCGGAAGGUGGGGAUGGAUCACCUCCUUUCUAAGGAAAUUUUUAAAAUCAUCAUCUUCAGUUUUGAAAGACUUAAAUUAAUUUAAAAAAAUAAGUUUUUCUUUUUCAUUAAUUAUUCUUAUAGUAUUUAAUUUUUUAAGGGCCUAUAGCUCAGUUGGUUAGAGCACACGCCUGAUAAGCGUGAGGUCGGUGGUUCAAGUCCAUUUAGGCCCACCAGUCUAAAUGAACUGAAAAUCAAAAAAAAGUUCUUUGAAAAGUAGAUAAACAACGUAAAUUCUCAAAAUAAUGAAGAAAAUAAGGGCGUACAGUGGAUGCCUUGGCACUAAGAGCCGAUGAAGGACGAGAUAAGAGUUUGAUCCUGGCUCAGGAUUA